AAGCACUUGAUACUAACCGAGCUAUCUGUAUCUUAGCGCUCCCACAGAGAUCUGAGAUAUAACUUGUGAUUGCUGGGUCUGAGAAGUGCAAUAUUAAAACAAGCCAUGAAGAAUUUAAGCUCAGUGUGUAGAGGAUCACACUGGGUUAUAACUCAGAGGCACAACU
Molecule: small nucleolar RNA, 166 nt
Filed under: Pelusios castaneus (West African mud turtle)
Lineage: Eukaryota; Metazoa; Chordata; Testudines; Pelomedusidae
Description: Small Cajal body specific RNA 1 (ENSPCEG00000005943.1)
Rfam family: Small Cajal body specific RNA 1
About the family: scaRNAs are a specific class of small nuclear RNAs which localise to the Cajal bodies and guide the modification of RNA polymerase II transcribed spliceosomal RNAs U1, U2, U4, U5 and U12. ACA35 belong to the H/ACA box class of guide RNAs as it has the predicted hairpin-hinge-hairpin-tail structure, conserved H/ACA-box motifs and is found associated with GAR1.
Source: Rfam by way of RNAcentral